Molecule: long non-coding RNA, 3227 nt
Organism: Neofelis nebulosa (Clouded leopard)
Lineage: Eukaryota; Metazoa; Chordata; Mammalia; Carnivora; Felidae
Exons: 3
Source: RefSeq, a predicted model, not a curated record
AGUGUCUGCAGAGAGAAUCACAAACGCAUGAGUCCCCAGUCACUAGCGGUGAGUCGAUGUCCGGCAAAUAAUCACAGAAACAGAGCACUGCACGUGACCACUGCCGCACGGCAAGGCACAAAUGAGCAGGUGUGUCCAAGAGCUCCCGGCACCGCCCCCCCCCCCCCCCCCCCCCCCCCCGUGCACAGGUACAUACAUAAAACACAGGCUAGUCAGGCACAGCGGGUGCCUUCCUCCCUCCAGGCUGUGGCUUAGCAACCUCCCACCUGCCUCCAGCCUCUCCUGUCUCCAAUCCACUCUUGUUGGCCAGAUCUGUCUAACUAGCAUGUAAAGUUUGAUCAUGUUCCUUUCCUACUUAAAUUUAUUUCAUGGUUCUCAACAACCUGUUUACCAAAAAUCCAAGUCUUUCCCACAGGAUUCGAGGCCAUGUGGAAUUUGGACCCAGUUUACCUUUCCCAGUUCACUUUUACAAGUAGUUUCCUUCUAUUCUCCUACCACAGGUCCCAGACAAGCCAAACUGAACACACUCCUAGAACACGGCAAGCCGUUCCCCACUCCCAAGCCUAUGUUCCCACUUUCCUGCCUGCCCGAAAUGCCUUUUUCCCGCCACAGUGCCUAGGGAGUAACCUCACCCCUCACAGCUCCGCUGAAGUACCACACCUUUCUAGCAAGCAUCUCUGAUGAGAAGGGAAGUCAGUCAUCCCUUCUCUAGAAAAAGUCCAGAGCAAAGGUUCUGGAACCAGAAUGCCUGGGAUAAAGCCCCAGCCUCGCCAUAUUCCACAUGUCUGACAAUGGGCAAGUUAACUGACUUCUUUAUAUAUCCAGUUCCUAAUCUGUGAAAUGGGAGUAAAAUAUCUUGAGUACAGAGCUAUUGCCAGCAGCUCGCUCCACGCCGGUGUCUUCCUCACUCCUCCUUCCCACUCGCCAAACACACCAGCAGCUCAGGAGGCUGCAAGGGCUGCCCGCCGUCCCGGGGUAAGGCCUUAAUCCGUCAUUGAAGACCGACCAUGGUCUGACUUCCCCCAACACCUUCAAGAUCAUUUCCAUUUCCAGCUACACUGCCCCAUACAGCUGCUAUAUUCUUUAGACACUGGGCCUCCAGGUGUGUUUUUUAUUCUGUACUUUGCCCCCUGGCUUGAUGCAAACCUGUUUUUUCUUUAAAAGCCAGCUCAAGCCUCACUCCUCCAUGAAUCCCCCCCGCCCCCAGCCCCAACUAUUCUCGGCUUUGGUGGGCAACAUACUUCCACGGGGCGCUGAGAGGUAAGAGUACUGGACUCGGAGACAGCACUGUAUGCACAGUGGUCCUAGCUCUGUCAGUUAUCACGUUCACCAAGCUAUCUGGCUUCUCAGAAACUUUAUCGCUUAACAUAAGAUAGGAACAGUUACUCAUUUCACAAAUAUUAAUUAUAUUCCUAUCACCUACAAAGAAUUAUGCCAAGGGCCCACUCCAGGUGACACAUAGAAUUAACCAUCACAUGUAUGCUUAAAGAAUACAAAGAUGCAUAGAACACGUUCCGGAUCCAAAGGAGCUUAUAAUUUAUUAGAAGAAAUAGGAAAUGUAUACAAACAUGCUACACACAAGAAAGUGAUGUCACAGGUCUAAAAGAAAUCACUAAAUAUUAAUGUAGAAGGUCUAGUAAUUCAAAAGCUAACGCAUGUUUUAGCUGAAACUACUCACUCGAUGCUUAAACGUUUUAAGUUCAACAUUCUCUCUCUUACCCUUAGUCUGGCUGAUAAGCGUCCGAAGUUCCCAACUUCUUCGAGCUGACCCACUUGAAUCACCUUUUGGAUAUGCUGGUUCUGCAGGAAGUAUGUUUUUCACACAAGUUAAGAUUUACGACACAGACACAGCUGAUGUAAUUGAGAGCAGGACUGAAGUGGCAUCAACAGUGGAAGCCGGUGAAGUGAGGCGGAGGAUUCAGCCGGUCGGGGUCACAGCCAAGGCCUCACACUCACCAUCGCGCUCCUCGGUGGGGCUUGAGUGGCGGCUCAAGGACCGAAACUGUAACUCCGCAGCUAUGGAGGCCAGCCGGUCGUUCUCAGGGACGCUGGAACCCCUGUUUCGGUAUUUUUAAAAAUUCAGCUGUCAAUUCAAUGGAACUGCAAGUGAAAGCUCCGUGAGAUUCUUCUAGAGCGGUGAUUCUCAACUAGGGGUAAUUUCUCCCGCUGGGGACACUGGCAUCUAGCGAGUAGAGGAUAAUGCAAAGGACGGCCCCAGAUAACGAAUUAUGCACCCGGAACAACAGUGCUGCUACUGAGAAACCCUUCCUAGAGCUGGGAAGUCAGUCGGAUUUUUAUCCUCCACUGCUGACACAUGAGAACCUGACUGUGUUACACUGUUUUAAGUUAAAAACAGCAAAAAUAAAACCAAAAGAGUAUUUAUUGAACUGCUAUUGACUUGUGUAGAAAGCUCCAUCAUUUCAGCCCAAGAUGGAUAAAAAUUAUUAGUCAAACUGGCUAAUAUUUAAAAUUAUGAUCAUACUAUAUAUUUAUGGGCUUAAUUCCAUUUAAAAUGUAAAAUUAUUACAUGAUUCAAAGAUUUCAAACCUCCUAAUAAGAAAAUGGAAGGAAACACCUAGUGACUUUUUAAGCAGUAGCCAAGCAAAGGUGCAGGACAGCAGGAAGCUUAGCACGGAAAGAACAAGGUUAAUUUGCUGCUUCUCCAGAAUAAAGUGAAGUGUGUUUAGAAAUCCAGAAUGAAUCCAAAAAGAGUAAAGCCCAGAAUUAAAUAAGGGCAGUGUUAAAACUGUAAUUCAAACAAUCCACACUAAAUAUGGCAUUAGUUUAUUAACAAGUUUAGUAUUUUGUACACGAAUGAUAUUGUGAAGUAUGGUAGCAUUUAUGCUCUUUUUCAUGAUAUGCUGAAUGGAUUUAAGGCGACGUGGUCUACUAAACACAUGUUCACAAAUGACGCCGUAGGCAAUGCUUUUUUAUUUCCCUAAACUCUCAAAUCCAGUGUAACACUUGUAAGUCUGAAGAGUGGGGGGCAUCCUCUGUGCCAUGUAGCUCAUCAGAGAGUCCUGACACCAUCUCCUGGGAACAGCACUGAUGCUGAAGUAAAGAAACACACGACUCCUAAACCAAGGACACGUCACUCAGCACGCCUCUGUUCCUGAUUUCCCAGACAUGAAAUCAGCCGAUUCCACACCCUCAGAGAUCUUUGCUAGGGCAAAAGGCAAAAAAAUAUCCUUAAAUGAGGUAGCGUGCCGGUGAACGUCUCACUACCC